This is a long non-coding RNA of Cynoglossus semilaevis (tongue sole), 215 nucleotides long. RefSeq lists it as uncharacterized. Lineage: Eukaryota; Metazoa; Chordata; Actinopteri; Pleuronectiformes; Cynoglossidae. The record is from RefSeq and is a predicted model, not a curated record. The transcript is spliced from 3 exons.
UUGAUAGGGAGCAAAGGAGUCUCUGGAUCUGGGCAUCAGUGGACCUGAAGGAAUUGAAGUUAGUCGACCAGAGGAGCUGGAGUCUGAGGCCACUCACAGGGCUGUGACCAUCGCCAACAGGGCCCACUGCCCCAUUUACCUGGUCAAUGUGUCCAGUAUGUCUGCUGGAGACAUGGUCGCUGCUGCAAAGAUGCAGGGUGAGUUUUUCUGCUCAG